AGCAGCCGCGGUAAUUCCAGCUCCAAUAGCGUAUAUUAAAGUUGUUGCAGUUAAAAAGCUCGUAGUUGAAUUUUGGGCCCGGACGGGCGGUCCACCCCUCGGGUGAGCACUGAACCGCGCCGGGCCUCACUUCUGGUGAGACGCCAUGCCCUUCGCUGGGUGUGGCGGGGAACCAGGACCAUUACCUUGAAAAAAUUAGAGUGUUCAAAGCAGGCAUGUGCUCGAAUAGAUUAGCAUGGAAUAAUGAAAUAGGACGCGCGGAGCUAUUUUGUUGGUUUCUAGAACCGCCGUA
RNAcentral lists this ribosomal RNA (292 nucleotides) under uncultured Ambisporaceae. Its description in RNAcentral is "partial small subunit ribosomal RNA". It matches the Rfam family "Eukaryotic small subunit ribosomal RNA", at positions 569 to 864 of the family's 1831-position model. The record is from RNAcentral. Lineage: Eukaryota; Fungi; Glomeromycota; Glomeromycetes; Archaeosporales; Ambisporaceae.